Molecule: long non-coding RNA, 682 nt
Filed under: Anas platyrhynchos (mallard)
Lineage: Eukaryota; Metazoa; Chordata; Aves; Anseriformes; Anatidae
Description: lncRNA (ENSAPLG00020013641.1)
Source: RNAcentral
GGGGCUCUUACACAAUGCCGCGGGUUCGUCCGGCGGCGGGGAGGGGCGUGGCGGAGCAUGCAAAUGAGGGGCAGCUCGCGCGGCGCGAUUGGAGGAGAGGGAGGAAGGGGGCGGGGCCAGAUAUGUAAAAAUCCCCGCGGGAGGGGGGCGGGCGAGUCGGCGGCGUUCGGAGGGAGCGUGAGGACGGCGGCGGGGCAGGGGGCGUGGCCUGUAUGUAAAUCCACCCGGCGGUGGGCGGGGCCUGUAUGCAAAUGAGAGCCGCCGUUUCCUGGCGCCCGCCCCGGCGUUCUGUCUAACACUGCCUCGGCCCCGCCCCUUGGGUAAAAGGCUCCGCGGCUGCGCAGUGCGCCGAAAGUCGGACUUAGCGUCUGUUACACAACGGCUGGGCAGCCAGGGGCUGCGCUCUCGGCGCGUCCCCGCUCCGCGCGUCCCCGGCGGCUCGGCUCGGCUCGGCUCCCUUCCUCCCUCCGCUCCUGCUCCUGCACCCUCCGGCAUGAGCGGGGACCAGCUGCACAACGAUUCCCAGAUCGAGGCGGAUUUCCGAGCCAACGUGAGCACAAAGAUUCCUCGGAAAAGAAACACAAAGACAAGGAGAAAACCAAACACAAAGAUGGCAGCUCAGAGAAACACAAAGACAAACACAAAGAUAAAGACAAGGAGAAGAGAAAGGAAGAGAAGGUAG